RNAcentral lists this ribosomal RNA (497 nucleotides) under uncultured bacterium. RNAcentral describes it as "partial 16S ribosomal RNA". It matches the Rfam family "Bacterial small subunit ribosomal RNA", at positions 28 to 507 of the family's 1533-position model. The record is from RNAcentral.
GAUGAACGCUGGCGGCGUGCCUAAUACAUGCAAGUCGAGCGAACGGACGAGUAGCUUGCUUCUCUGAUGUUAGCGGCGGACGGGUGAGUAACACGUGGAUAACCUACCUAUAAGACUGGGAUAACUUCGGGAAACCGGAGCUAAUACCGGAUAAUAUUUUGAACCGCAUGGUUCAAAAGUAAAAGACGGUCUUGCUGUCACUUAUAGAUGGAUCCGCGCUGCAUUAGCUAGUUGGUAAGGUAACGGCUUACCAAGGCAACGAUGCAUAGCCGACCUGAGAGGGUGAUCGGCCACACUGGAACUGAGACACGGUCCAGACUCCUACGGGAGGCAGCAGUAGGGAAUCUUCCGCAAUGGGCGAAAGCCUGACGGAGCAACGCCGCGUGAGUGAUGAAGGUCUUCGGAUCGUAAAACUCUGUUAUUAGGGAAGAACAUAUGUGUAAGUAACUGUGCACAUCUUGACGGUACCUAAUCAGAAAGCCACGGCUAACUACGUG